GAUAACUGGCUAAUGACUUUUAAGAUCUCUUAUUGAUGGAGUCAUUUGGCACAUUGAUGUUGACUCAUCACAUUCUAGGGUUGAAGAAGGUCCCAAGGGUUCAGUUGUUCGCUGAUGAAAGUGGUACAUGAGUUAGGUUUAGUACGUCGUGAGAUAGCUC
This 160-nucleotide non-coding RNA is filed under the name Cucumis melo (muskmelon). RNAcentral describes it as "Bacterial large subunit ribosomal RNA". It matches the Rfam family "Bacterial large subunit ribosomal RNA", at positions 2473 to 2632 of the family's 2925-position model. RNAcentral also lists the same sequence under 1 other name. The record is from Rfam by way of RNAcentral. Lineage: Eukaryota; Viridiplantae; Streptophyta; Magnoliopsida; Cucurbitales; Cucurbitaceae.